This 620-nucleotide ribosomal RNA is filed under the name fungal endophyte. Its description in RNAcentral is "eukaryotic LSU rRNA". The stretch from base 176 to 329 matches the Rfam family "5.8S ribosomal RNA". The record is from RNAcentral. Lineage: Eukaryota; Fungi.
UUACUGAGUUUACGCUCUACAACCCUUUGUGAACAUACCUAUAACUGUUGCUUCGGCGGGUAGGGUCUCCGUGACCCUCCCGGCCUCCCGCCCCCGGGCGGGUCGGCGCCCGCCGGAGGAUAACCAAACUCUGAUUUAACGACGUUUCUUCUGAGUGGUACAAGCAAAUAAUCAAAACUUUUAACAACGGAUCUCUUGGUUCUGGCAUCGAUGAAGAACGCAGCGAAAUGCGAUAAGUAAUGUGAAUUGCAGAAUUCAGUGAAUCAUCGAAUCUUUGAACGCACAUUGCGCCCGCCAGCAUUCUGGCGGGCAUGCCUGUUCGAGCGUCAUUUCAACCCUCAAGCUCUGCUUGGUGUUGGGGCCCUACAGCUGAUGUAGGCCCUCAAAGGUAGUGGCGGACCCUCCCGGAGCCUCCUUUGCGUAGUAACUUUACGUCUCGCACUGGGAUCCGGAGGGACUCUUGCCGUAAAACCCCCAAUUUUCCAAAGGUUGACCUCGGAUCAGGUAGGAAUACCCGCUGAACUUAAGCAUAUCAAUAAGCGGAGGAAAAGAAACCAACAGGGAUUGCCUCAGUAACGGCGAGUGAAGCGGCAACAGCUCAAAUUUGAAAUCUGGCCCUA